GAUGAACGCUGGCGGUAUGCUUAACACAUGCAAGUCGAACGGUCACUUCGGUGAUAGUGGCGGACGGGUGCGUAACGCGUGAGAAUCUGUCUUCAGGUCGGGGACAACAGUUAGAAAUGACUGCUAAUACCGGAUGUGCCUUUGGGUGAAAGAUUUAUUGCCUGAAAAAGAGCUCGCGUCAGCUUAGCUAGUAGGUGGUGUAAGAGACUACCUAGACUCCGAUCUGUAGCUGGUCUGAGAGGACGAUCAGCCACACUGGAACUGAGACACGGUCCAGACUCCUACGGGAGGCAGCAGAGAGGAAUUUUCCGCAAUGGGCGAAAGCCUGACGGAGCAAGACCGCGUGAGGGACGAAGGCUUUUGGGUCGGAAACCUCUUUUCUCAAGGAAGAUGAUGACGGUACUUGAGGAAUAAGCAUCGGCUAACUCUGUG
This 432-nucleotide ribosomal RNA is filed under the name uncultured bacterium. RNAcentral describes it as "partial 16S ribosomal RNA". It matches the Rfam family "Bacterial small subunit ribosomal RNA", at positions 28 to 507 of the family's 1533-position model. The record is from RNAcentral.